Molecule: ribosomal RNA, 429 nt
Filed under: Chloroflexota bacterium
Lineage: Bacteria; Bacillati; Chloroflexota
Description: Chloroflexi bacterium partial 16S ribosomal RNA
Rfam family: Bacterial small subunit ribosomal RNA
Source: RNAcentral
UGGGGAAUAUUGCACAAUGGGCGCAAGCCUGAUGCAGCCAUGCCGCGUGUAUGAAGAAGGCCUUCGGGUUGUAAAGUACUUUCAGCGGGGAGGAAGGGAGUAAAGGUAAUACCUUUGCUCAUUGACGUUACCCGCAGAAGAAGCACCGGCUAACUCCGUGCCAGCAGCCGCGGUAAUACGGAGGGUGCAAGCGUUAAUCGGAAUUACUGGGCGUAAAGCGCACGCAGGCGGUUUGUUAAGUCAGAUGUGAAAUCCCCGGGCUCAACCUGGGAACUGCAUCUGAAAUUAGCAAGCUUUGGUCUCGUAGAGGGGGGUAGAAUUUCAGGUGUAGCGGUGAAAUGCGUAGAGAUCUGGAGGAAUACCGGUGGCGAAGGAGGCCCCCUGGACGAAGACUGACGCUCAGGUGCGAAAGCGUGGGGAGCAAACAGG